Molecule: small RNA, 107 nt
Filed under: Marmota monax (woodchuck)
Lineage: Eukaryota; Metazoa; Chordata; Mammalia; Rodentia; Sciuridae
Source: RNAcentral
GCCGGGUGUGGUGGUGCACACCUGUAAUCCCAGUGGCUCAGGAGGCUGAGGAAGGAAGAUCACGAGUUCAAAGCCAGUCUCAGCAACUUAGUGAGGCCCUGUCUCUA